This 137-nucleotide ribosomal RNA is filed under the name uncultured eukaryote. RNAcentral's name for it is "partial 18S ribosomal RNA". It matches the Rfam family "Eukaryotic small subunit ribosomal RNA", at positions 1299 to 1458 of the family's 1831-position model. The record is from RNAcentral.
UGGUGGGGUGACUUGUCUGCUUAAUUGCGAUAACGAACGAGACCUUAACCUGCUAAAUAACCCGCAUUGCUCCGGCAGUGCGCUGGCUUCUUAGAGGGACUUUCGGCUCAAGCCGAAGGAAGUUUGAGGCAAUAACA